Molecule: transfer RNA, 76 nt
Filed under: Acetobacter sp.
Lineage: Bacteria; Pseudomonadati; Pseudomonadota; Alphaproteobacteria; Acetobacterales; Acetobacteraceae
Description: tRNA-Glu
Rfam family: tRNA
About the family: Transfer RNA (tRNA) molecules are approximately 80 nucleotides in length.
Source: RNAcentral
GUCUCGUUCGUCUAGAGGCCUAGGACAUCGCCCUCUCACGGCGGCAACACGGGUUCGAAUCCCGUACGGGACGCCA